UUUCCGAAAGGGAUGCUAAUACCUUAUAAGCUCCCGGAUUUUAGAACUCUGGGAGAAAAGUUCCGGCGCUUUGAGAGGGGGCUGCGAGCCAUCAGCUAGUUGGUGUGGUAACGGCGCACCAAGGCGACGACGGCUAGGAGGCCUGAGAGGGUGACCUCCCACACUGGAACUGAGACACGGUCCAGACUCCUACGGGAGGCAGCAGUGAGGAAUAUUGCACAAUGGGCGCAAGCCUGAUGCAGCGACGCCGCGUGAGUGAUGAAGGCCUUCGGGUCGUAAAGCUCUUUUCUAGGUGAUGAGAAUGGACGGUAGCCUAGGAAUAAGUGUCGGCUAACUACGUGCCAGCAGCCGCGGUAAAACGUAGGACACAAGCGUUAUCCGGAGUUACUGGGCGUAAAGGGCGUGUAGGCGGAUUUGUAAGUCUACUCUGAAAGCUUCUGGCUAAACUGGAAGAGGCGAGUGGAGACUGCAAGUCUAGAGUGAGGAAGAGGAAAGUGGAAUUCCGCGUGUAGUGGUGAAAUGCGUAGAGAUGCGGAGGAACACCAGUGGCGAAAGCGGCUUUCUGGUCCUUAACUGACGCUGAGGCGCGAAAGCAUGGGGAGCGAACGGGAUUAGAAACCCCGGUAGUCCAUGCCGUAAACGAUGUUCACUAAACGUUCGUUUCCCGCGAGGGAAGCGGGUGUUGAAGCUAACGCAGUAAGUGAACCGCCUGGGGAGUACGGUGGCAAGGCUAAAACUCAAAGGAAUUGACGGGGGACCGCACAAGCAGCGGAGCGUGUGGUUUAAUUCGAGUCUACACGAAGAACCUUACCUAGGUUUGACAUCGUAGUGAAGUCUGCGUGAAAGCGUGGAUGUCCCGCAAGGGACACUAUGACAGGUGCUGCAUGGCUGUCGUCAGCUCGUGCCGUGAGGUGUUCGGUUAAGUCCGCAAACGAGCGCAACCCUCGGUGCCAGUUACAAGUGUCUGGCGCGACUGCCCGUGGCAAACGGGAGGAAGGUGGGGAUGACGUCAAGUCAGCAUGGCCUUUAUAUCUAGGGCUACACACACGCUACAAUGGCGCGUACAAUGGGUCGCGAACCUGCGAAGGGGAGCCAAUCCUAAAAAGCGCGUCUCAGUUCAGAUUGCAGGCUGCAACCCGCCUGCAUGAAGUUGGAGUUGCUAGUAACCGCGCGUCAGCAGAGUGCGGUGAAUACGUUCCCGGUCCUUGUACACACCGCCCGUCACGUCAUGAGAGCUGGUGACGCCUGAAGUCGGGAAGCUAACCGCAAGGGGGCUACUGCCGAGGGCAGCACUGGUGAUUGGGACGAAGUCGUAACAAGGUA
This 1323-nucleotide ribosomal RNA is filed under the name metagenome. RNAcentral describes it as "bacterial SSU rRNA". It matches the Rfam family "Bacterial small subunit ribosomal RNA", at positions 148 to 1498 of the family's 1533-position model. The record is from RNAcentral.